AAUGAAGUGCCUGAAAAAGGAUUAUCUUGAUAGGAUAAAUAAUGUAGAUUUAUAGUUUUACCUUUAUUA
This 69-nucleotide transfer RNA is filed under the name Squilla mantis. Its description in RNAcentral is "tRNA-Ile". The record is from RNAcentral. Lineage: Eukaryota; Metazoa; Arthropoda; Malacostraca; Stomatopoda; Squillidae.